GCUUGCUAUUUUUAUGAAGAGCGGCGAACGGGUGAGUAACGCGUGGGAAAUCUGCCGAGUAGCGGGGGGCAACGUUUGGAAACGAACGCUAAUACCGCAUAACAAUGAGAAUCGCAUGAUUCUUAUUUAAAAGAAGCAAUUGCUUCACUACUUGAUGAUCCCGCGUUGUAUUAGCUAGUUGGUAGUGUAAAGGACUACCAAGGCGAUGAUACAUAGCCGACCUGAGAGGGUGAUCGGCCACACUGGGACUGAGACACGGCCCAGACUCCUACGGGAGGCAGCAGUAGGGAAUCUUCGGCAAUGGGGGCAACCCUGACCGAACAACGCCCGCGUGAGUGAAGAAGGUUUUCGGAUCGUAAAACUCUUGUUGUUAGAGAAGAACGUUAAGUAGAGUGGAAAAUUACUUUAAGUGACGGUAUUCUACCAGAAAGGGACGGCUUAACUAACGUGCCAGCACCCGCGGUAAUACGUAGGUCCAAGCGUUGUCCCGGAUUUAUUGG
Molecule: ribosomal RNA, 500 nt
Filed under: uncultured bacterium
Lineage: Bacteria
Description: bacterial SSU rRNA
Rfam family: Bacterial small subunit ribosomal RNA
Source: RNAcentral